CUAAGUUUGAUGGCGACCGGCGCACGGGUGAGUAACACGUAUCCAACCUGCCGAUGACUCGGGGAUAGCCUUUCGAAAGAAAGAUUAAUACCCGAUGGCAUAGUUCUUCCGCAUGGUAGAACUAUUAAAGAUUUCGGUCAUCGAUGGGGAUGCGUUCCAUUAGGUUAGUUGGCGGGGUAACGGCCCACCAAGCCUUCGAUGGAUAGGGGUUCUGAGAGGAAGGUCCCCCACAUUGGAACUGAGACACGGUCCAAACUCCUACGGGAGGCAGCAUG
Molecule: ribosomal RNA, 275 nt
Filed under: uncultured bacterium
Lineage: Bacteria
Description: partial 16S ribosomal RNA
Rfam family: Bacterial small subunit ribosomal RNA
Source: RNAcentral